UGAAGAGUUUGAUCAUGGCUCAGAUUGAACGCUGGCGGCAGGCCUAACACAUGCAAGUCGAACGGUAACAUUUCUAGCUUGCUAGAAGAUGACGAGUGGCGGACGGGUGAGUAAUGCUUGGGAACUUGCCUUUGCGAGGGGGAUAACAGUUGGAAACGACUGCUAAUACCGCAUAAUGUCUUCGGACCAAACGGGGCUUUUAGCUCCGGCGCAAAGAGAGGCCCAAGUGAGAUUAGCUAGUUGGUAAGGUAACGGCUUACCAAGGCGACGAUCUCUAGCUGUUCUGAGAGGAAGAUCAGCCACACUGGGACUGAGACACGGCCCAGACUCCUACGGGAGGCAGCAGUGGGGAAUAUUGCACAAUGGGGGAAACCCUGAUGCAGCCAUGCCGCGUGUGUGAAGAAGGCCUUCGGGUUGUAAAGCACUUUCAGUGAGGAAGAAAGCCUUGAGGUUAAUACCCUCGAGGGAGGACAUCACUCACAGAAGAAGCACCGGCUAACUCCGUGCCAGCAGCCGCGGUAAUACGGAGGGUGCGAGCGUUAAUCGGAAUUACUGGGCGUAAAGCGCGCGUAGGCGGCUUGAUAAGCCGGUUGUGAAAGCCCCGGGCUCAACCUGGGAAUUGCACCCGAUACUGGCCGACUGGAGUGCGAGAGAGGGAGGUAGAAUUCCACGUGUAGCGGUGAAAUGCGUAGAUAU
This 696-nucleotide ribosomal RNA is filed under the name Emiliania huxleyi. RNAcentral describes it as "partial Bacterial small subunit ribosomal RNA". It matches the Rfam family "Bacterial small subunit ribosomal RNA", at positions 1 to 697 of the family's 1533-position model. The record is from RNAcentral. Lineage: Eukaryota; Haptophyta; Isochrysidales; Noelaerhabdaceae.